Molecule: ribosomal RNA, 497 nt
Filed under: uncultured bacterium
Lineage: Bacteria
Description: partial 16S ribosomal RNA
Rfam family: Bacterial small subunit ribosomal RNA
Source: RNAcentral
GAUGAACGCUGGCGGCGUGCCUAAUACAUGCAAGUCGAGCGAACGGACGAGAAGCUUGCUUCUCUGAGGUUAGCGGCGGACGGGUGAGUAACACGUGGAUAACCUACCUAUAAGACUGGGAUAACUUCGGGAAACCGGAGCUAAUACCGGAUCAUAUUUUGAACCGCAUGGUUCAAAAGUGAAAGACGGCCUUGCUGUCACAUAUAGAUGGAUCCGCGCUGCAUUAGCUAGUUGGUAAGGUAACGGCCUACCAAGGCAACGAUGCAUAGCCGACCUGAGAGGGUGAUCGGCCACACUGGAACUGAGACACGGUCCAGACUCCUACGGGAGGCAGCAGUAGGGAAUCUUCCGCAAUGGGCGAAAGCCUGACGGAGCAACGCCGCGUGAGUGAUGAAGGUCUUCGGAUCGUAAAGCUCUGUUAUUAGGGAAGAACAUAUGUGUAAGUAACUGUGCACAUCUUGACGGUACCUAAUCAGAAAGCCACGGCUAACUACGUG